Molecule: ribosomal RNA, 253 nt
Filed under: uncultured bacterium
Lineage: Bacteria
Description: partial 16S ribosomal RNA
Rfam family: Bacterial small subunit ribosomal RNA
Source: RNAcentral
UACGUAGGGGGCAAGCGUUGUCCGGAUUUACUGGGCGUAAAGAGCGCGUAGGCGGAACGUUAAGCGGGGCCGGAAAGCCCCCGGCUCAACCGGGGAAGGGGCCGCGAACUGGCGUUCUUGGAGGGGGGGAGAGGAGAGCGGAAUUCCUGGUGUAGCGGUGAAAUGCGUAGAGAUCAGGAGGAACACCCAUGGCGAAGGCAGCUCUCUGGCCUCACCCUGACGCUGAGGCGCGAAAGCGUGGGGAGCGAACGGG